Molecule: unclassified non-coding RNA, 263 nt
Filed under: plant metagenome
Description: partial contains small subunit ribosomal RNA, internal transcribed spacer 1, and 5.8S ribosomal RNA
Source: RNAcentral
UUUCCGUAGGUGAACCUGCGGAAGGAUCAUUAUUGUAUAACCGAGGUGCGAGGGCCGUCGCUGACCCGACAGGCCGUGCACGCCCGAGUGCCCUCACACACAUCCAUCUCACCCCUAUGUGCACCACCGCGUGGGUCCCCCUUUGGCUUGUUCGGAGGGGGGCUUACGUUUUCACACAAACUUUGUAUGCAGUGUAGAAUGUAUUUUUUGUUUUUGCGAUCACGCAAUCAAUACAACUUUCAACAACGGAUCUCUUGGCUCUC